Tympanuchus pallidicinctus (lesser prairie-chicken) is the source of this 3395-nucleotide long non-coding RNA. RefSeq lists it as uncharacterized. The record is from RefSeq and is a predicted model, not a curated record. The transcript has 3 exons. NCBI's taxonomy places the organism in Eukaryota, Metazoa, Chordata, Aves, Galliformes, Phasianidae.
GACCACCUCCCAGAAAAGAAUGGCUCUCCUCAGAUAAUUGUAUAUUGAAUACUCCAUGAUAUGAAUGUUAAAUGAAGAGUAGACUCAUUUUAUCAAGGGAAAAUACAGACCCCACAUUGCCCAGCAUAUCCAGAUAGAUCGGAUGCUGCAGAGCCUUCACCUUCCUGAACCUCUCCCUCAAUGUCCCUCUUGAACUAAGGAGGCCAAAAAUUCACCUGAUAUUCCAGUCAUGGAAGAGAAGGAGGAAUCUCUGGCACAGGAUCCAGAGCAAGUCUGUGAAUUGCCCUUUACAGGAAUGUCUGGAGCCUCAGCACCAAAUGCCAAAGGGACAUAAGAUUCUACAAAGCAAGUGUUUGUGGAUCUUGCUUUAUAUACUGAAUGCUGAUGGGACUGUUACAGUCAUCUGGUCUUGUGUGGCAAACCCAGGUAGAUCACAUUGUCUUGAUUCCUAAAUCUCAGAAUUUAAAGCAUUGAGAUGCUCAAGAUGACAUCUGACUUUUAAGUGUCAGCAGCUCAAGUAUCUUCAUAGUUCUUUUCUAUGUAAUUUAUUAAUUUGUUUUUUAAAGGAGCUUCAAACUGAUGUGUGUUCACUGAGAUAAAUUAACCAAAAGAAGGGAGAAAAUAAUGGAAAAAAAAAAAAAAAAGAUUCCAGAAGUUUAAUUCCAGAGUGUGUUAAGUUCCAGGACCAGAAACAUAUUUUGGCCUAUUCUGGAAGAAGGAAGUUUUAAAAAUUCUCUGUGCCAAACUGGUUUUUAAUCCAAAAUCUUUUGCCUAUGUGGUUUUUCAAAACAACUUCUGAUGACUUUUAGUUUUUAAGUGGGAAAGAAUUCCCUGUUUCAGUUGUUCUUGCUCAAGGAGAGAAAAAUAAUUUGGUUUGCUCCAAAAUUAUAAGGAGAAAAACAUAAAGCGCAGUUUAAACUUGGAAAAUUUUGGAAAGUUUUAGAUCUUGGUGACACUAACCUAAAUAUUAUUAUAGAAAACUUUAUGAAUUCUUAAUGAUUUCGCAUCACUCUGACCUCAGUGGGAUGAACGCAUUCUCUGGAACUUAAAGAACAGGUUCAAGUAAUGUUUUGCCUGAUAUGCUUAGAAAAACAUAAUCAAAUAAAGGUGUGUCAGGCACAUCACUUUUAUGAGACUUCUCUUGGUAAGUCGCAUCAGUUACAUAACUCAAAAAAGAGGCCAGAUAAACUGGAAAUGGUUCAAAAAAGAAAGGCAGAAUUGGAAAGGAAACUUGUGAAAAGUUUCAAGUCUAUAUUCUUCUUUUUUCCUUCUAGUUUAUUAAACUCAAUUUAUGUAAUAUAAAAGAGAAGAUAAAAAGAUGAUAAAGUCACAGAUUAUCAGUGGCUCCAACUGAAAGAGAGAGUUUUAAUCUAGCAGAAGCACACAGCACAUCAAACAAAAUAAUCCAAUCACAUCAUCCAGUAAUGGGAAGCAAAAGAUAAGCAGAAAUAGGGACAGAAUUUAAAUGGAGAAGAUAAUUAAGUCAUAGAAUUGCUUGAGGUGGAGAGAACCUCUAAAGGCCAUCUGAUCCAACUCUCCUGCAGUAAACAGGGACAUCUGCAGCUCAAUCAGGUGCUCAGAGCUUGGUUCACACACCUCUAGCUCAUUGUACAGCUCAGUGUUUAAAAGCCAAAGCUAACCUGAAGGCUCUGUUUUCCUCUAUGGAGGAAAACAGAAAUAAAUGAAUACAGAUCCUCAAGAAGGUGAUGGCUUUAAUUAUCACUCAAAGCACACAUACAGGAAGCUCAUGUUGUUAAGUGCUGACAGGUUAUGGGUGAUACCACACAUCAUGAGCCUAAGGCUGACCCACUUGGACAAUUUGCUAUGUGGUUUUGCAGGUCUAACGCCUGAGGUAAGAUAGUAUGACAACUAUAUAAUUACAAAGUACCAGCAGUUAGAAAAAUCUUAAUAAAUGCUUGGUGAAAACCAGAUUGUGAGCAAAACCAAAAUAUGAGACCAGGUUUCUUAUAUCUAAGGUGAACCAUUACUCACUGUAGAUAAUGGGAUGCAGGAAUAUGAAGGCUCAUGGGACUGGAACCCCAACAGAUCAGUAUUUUAUCUGUUGCCCUCUGGCUUCCAAGGGCAUAAGUAUUGAAGCUACUAGAGUUAGGAGUUAGGUUUGCCAGAGAUGAUUGUGACUGCUGGGAGAGACAGAUCUUAGAGAAAAAACUGAGAGGGUUUUGUUCAGGAUGGCAUAGCAGGACAUUCAAAAAGCAUGGAGUUAGGAAUGCUCCCUCUGACUUUAAGUUCUAUAAAUUUAUGAAGAAACUGUAAAGACUUUUUCUGUUAUUUACCGUACUUCAUGGAAACAAAAAAGAAGCAAGGGUAGAAGAAAUAUGUCCAGGAUGGAAAUUAAAUCAUGACAUUAAUGAUAAUGAAAUACUAAUUAUACCCAGAGCAGCAUUUUAAUAAUGAUAAUUCAGAUUAUGUUAAUGUACUGCUCUCUUUAAACAUGCUAACUACCUGUUCAAAUUGCAGUAGGUCAAUGCAACGUGUGACUGGAUCUCAUUAAUUUUUCUUACAUGCUGGAAUUUUUCACUGUCUUGGCUGAAGCCCAUUUUCCUUUUGCAAUCAGCAGUUUACAUUUUAAAUUCAUUCAUUAGGCAAUAAAAAUCUUUAAUUAAAAAAAGUAAUUUAUUCUUCAUGGCUUCAGGUCAUAUAAACUGGCAAAAAGGAUUACUUUCUCCUGUUUAUUAAAGUCUGAGUGAUGCUUUAUCUCUCAAGAAUGCUGAAGACAAUAUAUGAUUGUUAUCAGUUUUGUUUACUGGGCUCACUCAGAUCACUUGUGGCUGUGUGGUGACGUUGGUGUCUUUUAUUACUUAAAUACUGAUUAAAAGUCCCGCUUGCUGACUGCAUGCACUGAAAUUAUAGAUAUUGGUUUGUUUAACACUUUCUUGACUCUGUUAAGAGAAGGUCAGGGUAAGAACUUCUUUUGGGGUGUUAGAUGUUUCAAGACGCUCCUUGAAAGAAACUGAGAUAAAGGGGACAGCAGCAAAAGGCUCUUUGGGUACACAAGUCUGUCUGUUGCCUGAUCUAAAGGAAGAAAGAACGGCUGUGAAAGAUUGCCUGUAAGUGUACUAAAAUUAGCUGUAUUUUUAUGCAGCAUGGUUUCAUCUUACUUCUUUCAUGUGCAGGGUUAAUACUCUCAGUGCCAAGUGAAUAAAACACUAGUUCUACAUAGUGGGGUGGGAAGGAGUUGUGAAGGGAAAGGAGAAAAUAUGUCUGGCUUGAGGCCAUAUUGUCCCACUGGGUUCAAUCCAAAGCUCAUUCAGUGAAAGAUGUUCUGUUAGUCUGUCAGGAUAUUUCACUGAGCCCUGUAUCAUGCUUGGAUACCGAGUUUUGUGAAAUACAGCAUAGAUAUUUUGUGAGUUUUUCUGAAUUUGUCUUAAUUUUUA